CACCUCUAGCAUUACCAGUAUUAGAGGCACUGCCUGCCCAGUGACAUUAGUUUAACGGCCGCGGUAUCCUGACCGUGCAAAGGUAGCAUAAUCAUUUGUUCCUUAAUUAGGGACUUGUAUGAAAGGCUCCACGAGGGUUUAACUGUCUCUUACUUUCAAUCAGUGAAAUUGACCUUCCCGUGAAGAGGCGGGAAUAAAAAAAUAAGACGAGAAGACCCUAUGGAGCUUAAAUUAAAUUAUCUAAUAAAUUAAAACUUAAUCCCMUAGGCAUAACAAUAUAUUUAACUAGAUAACAAAUUUUGGUUGGGGUGACCUCGGAGUAUAACCCAACCUCCGAGCUAUAUAAACUAAGACUUACCUGUCAAAGUGAAAUAACUUAUUGAUCCAAUCUUAUUGAUCAACGGAAUAAGUUACCCUAGGGAUAACAGCGCAAUCCUAUUUAAGAGUUCAUAUCGWCAAUAGGGUUUACGACCUCGAUGUUGGAUCAGGACACCCUAAUGGUGCAGCAGCU
This 511-nucleotide ribosomal RNA is filed under the name Suncus etruscus (white-toothed pygmy shrew). RNAcentral describes it as "partial 16S ribosomal RNA". It matches the Rfam family "Bacterial large subunit ribosomal RNA", at positions 1816 to 2563 of the family's 2925-position model. Lineage: Eukaryota; Metazoa; Chordata; Mammalia; Eulipotyphla; Soricidae. The record is from RNAcentral.